This 1667-nucleotide long non-coding RNA is filed under the name Mus musculus (house mouse). Its description in RNAcentral is "Egfr long non-coding downstream RNA, transcript variant 2 (Eldr)". Lineage: Eukaryota; Metazoa; Chordata; Mammalia; Rodentia; Muridae. The record is from RNAcentral.
AUCACCGUAAGGGAAGGAAAGAAAGGAGGCCCAAGUCACUGCAAGGUCCAGCGUCCCCGCUGAGUGACAGCGGGCACAUGGGCGGGACUUAAAAGAGCGGGACUUACAAAGGGCGGGACUUACAAAGGGCGGGACUUGCAAAGGGCGGGACUCCCAAAGUGCUUUGGUAGCUAGCGAGGGCUUUGAGACGGCCGAGAGUUUGAGCGCCAAGGCUCUCUCUCCCCAGGGGACUCUGCAACCUGACUAGGUGCUCCUUCCCUGAGCAUAGUAACAUUCCAGGGAGCUGCCCGGGGAAGCUUAACGCUCGAUGCGGCCAAAGAGAUGUCAUGAUUUUGAGGGGAGCUUUUUCUGCUAUGGAUAUGAGACCGUGCUUGGAAGAAAUGAUUUAUUGCAAAUUUACUAUGAUGGACAAUCUGUCUUUCAGGGUGGUAGGAAUGUAUCAUGGUGGGAGAGUCAUGGCAGCAGGCAGCUGGAACAGGACACUAAGUAAGAACACCUUCAACUACAAGCAGAAGUCAAGGAGAACUGAAAGUGACAACUGGAACCUUGAGAGCCAAGGGAGAUUGUGGAGAGGAUGUGAGCAGAUGGCCGCUGAGGAUAGCUGACCGGGUGGGUGGGCUGGAACCUAGGCCAGGACCUGCCACCUGAGGAUUGUGCCUGCGAUGUCCAUAUGAUUGUGAACAGCUAAACAGGGAGCUCUGCUCUGUUGAAAAUCAUAAAGUUGAAAAUGAAAAGAGAUAAAACCUUAAGCACAGAAGAAUAUUUUGUCUUUGGUGAAAAGAACAACUUAAGAUUAAUUUUAUUUUUAUGCUGUAUAUGCGUGUGGGUAUGUGCAUGCAAAUUUGGGUGACUCCAAAGGUCAGAGCAUCAAAUCACUUGGAGCUGGGAUUAUAGGCAAAUGAAAGCUGCCAAGCAUAGGAAUCUAACGAAUGUCCUCUGUAUGAGCAGAGAGUACUCCUUACUGCAGAGCCAUGUUUCCAGCUUAAGGAGGGCUUUUAGAAAGAAGAUUGAUAGAGAAUACAUACUUAAUAGUUUGAUGUACUAAAAAGGUUAAUUUUUAUUCACUAUAGACACUAGAAAUAAUAUUUACAAUUUAUAUAAUGCAUGUGAUUAUAGAACUAGAAGUAACAAUAUUAAAUAUAAAUAAAUUAUUGUAAGUCAGAUAAGAGAGAUGGAAACCCCAGUAGGAAAAACCCAUUAAAGUAACUAAAAUGUGGACAAAUGAAGGUGUAUCGUUUAUUUUUACAAUUGUAAUGUUAUAUAAUUAGUAAGCACAGUUUUAUAUAAGAAAGGUGUUUAUUUGCACUAGGAAAAUGUAAAACACAAAGCAGAAGACCAUAUCGAACUAGCACUAAUUUAAGAUUUAGUAACAAGAGCUACCAGGGAGGUGAAGAUAUGAUACCCUUAUAUUCUGGCAGCCUGACAGAAGCUUCUUAAGUUACAACAUCCCCAAGCCAUUUUCCAAAGCCAACUCUCAUCAUAGAACCCUUGAGCUAGCAAAAUACACUGAUUUUAAUAUUGUUUAUGGUUUUGGAAGCAUGGAAACAAACUGUCUUUGUUACAGAACAUGAUCUAAUACCUAUCAUGAUUUACUUUUAAGAACAAAGAUAUAUUAAUGUAUAACACAAUGUAUGUAUAAUUACAUAUGUGUAAUGUAUAUCACAAAG